This 253-nucleotide ribosomal RNA is filed under the name uncultured bacterium. RNAcentral describes it as "partial 16S ribosomal RNA". It matches the Rfam family "Bacterial small subunit ribosomal RNA", at positions 524 to 776 of the family's 1533-position model. The record is from RNAcentral.
UACGGGGGGGGCAAGCGUUGUUCGGAAUUACUGGGCGUAAAGGGCUCGUAGGUGGCCAACUAAGUCAGACGUGAAAUCCCUCAGCUUAACUGGGGAACUGCGUCUGAUACUGGAUGGCUUGAGUUUGGGAGAGGGAUGCGGAAUUCCAGGUGUAGCGGUGAAAUGCGCAGAUAUCAGGAGGAACACCGGUGGCGAAGGCGGGUCUCUGGGCCGAAAUUGACGCUGAGGAGCGAAAGCGUGGGGAGCAAACAGG